Molecule: ribosomal RNA, 250 nt
Filed under: uncultured bacterium
Lineage: Bacteria
Description: partial 16S ribosomal RNA
Rfam family: Bacterial small subunit ribosomal RNA
Source: RNAcentral
AACGCUGGAUGCCCGCUAUAUGCCCCUUAGGGUAUGUGGCCAAGUGAAAACGUUAAGCAUCCCACCUGGGGAGUACGCCGGCAACGGUGAAACUCAAAGGAAUUGACGGGGGCCCGCACAAGCGGAGGAACAUGUGGUUUAAUUCGAUGAUACGCGAGGAACCUUACCCGGGCUUGAAUUGCUGAGGAAGGCUUCAGAGAUGGAGCUGCCCUUCGGGGCUUCAGUGAAGGUGCUGCAUGGCUGUCGUCAG